CACGAGGAAGUAAUAAGUGUACGCAGGACCGACUUGUUGGCUUUCUUUUACUUUGUCAUUUGGUCAGGAAAAGGAAAUCUGCUCAGAGCAGGGUGUAAUCAGUGGAGUCAAAGUCAUAUGUUGACAUGUAUGAAUAGAAUGCUGGAGGGAACUACCUGAGCAGCCAGAAUGCACUGCGUGCAUUGUGUUAUGACAUAUUAUGACAGGGCAUACAAAUUCAUCUUCCUGUACAGCUUUUGUCUUACUCUGAUAGCACGAAAUGUGUUAAUGCAAGUGAAUGCCCAAGAUUCCAUUCACGACCUGUACAAAAGAGAUGACGGGAUGUACAGCUGGUGUCUCUUCUGUCUUAAUGAGGACCUUCAACAAUCAAAAGAUUUUCAACAACAGUGUGUUGACCAAAACCCUACAUUUUCUAAAAAUGAUGUUCUAUGGUGCUAUGUCAGAGGAAAACCUCCAAGUAA
Liolophura sinensis is the source of this 461-nucleotide long non-coding RNA. RefSeq lists it as uncharacterized. The record is from RefSeq and is a predicted model, not a curated record. NCBI's taxonomy places the organism in Eukaryota, Metazoa, Mollusca, Polyplacophora, Chitonida, Chitonidae. The transcript has 4 exons.